AGAUAUGAUCCAGAGUACCACGGGACACGUGAAACCCUGUGGGAAGCAGGAGGGACCACCCUCCAAGGCUAAAUACUACCUAGUGACCGAUAGCGUAUAGUACCGUGAGGGCAAGGUGAAAAGAACCCCGGGAGGGGAGUGAAAUAGAA
This 149-nucleotide ribosomal RNA is filed under the name Clostridioides difficile. RNAcentral describes it as "partial 23S ribosomal RNA". It matches the Rfam family "Bacterial large subunit ribosomal RNA", at positions 398 to 548 of the family's 2925-position model. Lineage: Bacteria; Bacillati; Bacillota; Clostridia; Peptostreptococcales; Peptostreptococcaceae. The record is from RNAcentral.